This 301-nucleotide ribosomal RNA is filed under the name uncultured bacterium. RNAcentral describes it as "partial 16S ribosomal RNA". It matches the Rfam family "Bacterial small subunit ribosomal RNA", at positions 509 to 807 of the family's 1533-position model. The record is from RNAcentral.
CAGUAGCCGCGGUAAUACGAAGGGUGCAAGCGUUACUCGGAAUUACUGGGCGUAAAGCGUGCGUAGGUGGUGGUUUAAGUCCGUUGUGAAAGCCCUGGGCUCAACCUGGGAAUUGCAGUGGAUACUGGGUCACUAGAGUGUGGUAGAGGAUAGUGGAAUUUCCGGUGUAGCAGUGAAAUGCGUAGAGAUCGGAAGGAACAUCUGUGGCGAAGGCGACUAUCUGGGCCAACACUGACGCUGAGGAGCGAAAGCAUGGGGAGCGAACAGGAUUAGAUACCCGAGUAGUCCCUGUCUCUUAUAC